CGUGUCAAAUAUUGGGCCCGAAUACGCUUUAAUAGUUUAAUAAUAUGUGUUAAUAUAAAAAAAAAAAAAAAAAAAUCGAAACCUCAAUUCCAAGUAGUUGGAAUUAUUUAGUUUGGAGUUUGAACACACAGCGGUAGAGUUUUAUUUAAAUUUUAGAAUCCAAAACCGUCGUAUUAGUCUUGAAGGGGAUUCGAUGGAUCGUGUCUUGGUCUCGGCGAUUAAUCGACAUUGGGGAA
This is a non-coding RNA of Cinara cedri, 236 nucleotides long. The record is from the annotation of a GenBank genome assembly. NCBI's taxonomy places the organism in Eukaryota, Metazoa, Arthropoda, Insecta, Hemiptera, Aphididae.